Mandrillus leucophaeus (drill) is the source of this 402-nucleotide long non-coding RNA. RefSeq lists it as uncharacterized. The record is from RefSeq and is a predicted model, not a curated record. The transcript is spliced from 3 exons. Lineage: Eukaryota; Metazoa; Chordata; Mammalia; Primates; Cercopithecidae.
AGUUGUAGUUCGGCUUGAGGCCCGGGCCGCAUGGGGAGUUGUUGGGCGGAACGAGCGACUCGGAGUAUGGGAUUGGGGGAGGGGGACGGAGGUGGGGGGGUUGUUUGGCGCAAAGCCUGCUGGGGCAUGGAGUCCCAGUGAGCUUUGUGCGCAUGUGCGGGGAGGUGACGGGGCUUGGGGGGCAUCGCCUGAGAGAGUGAGGACAGGCUGUGGGAGGAGCUGCAGGACUGAGGCACAGAGGCCCGGGGCCCACGGAGGGGCCCAGCCUUGACUUGGCUCCCUGGGAUCCCAGGACUGCACGCCCUUUCCGCACCACCUGAGUGAGCGCCGCCCCUCACAGAGACCUCUUUGCCCCUGGGCCAGGCGGGGCAGGCGCUGCGGUCCGGGAGGCCCCAUGGAGGU